RNAcentral lists this ribosomal RNA (333 nucleotides) under uncultured bacterium. RNAcentral's name for it is "bacterial SSU rRNA". It matches the Rfam family "Bacterial small subunit ribosomal RNA", at positions 1 to 334 of the family's 1533-position model. The record is from RNAcentral.
AGAGACGAGUCAGAGUUUGAUCCUGGCUCAGAUUGAACGCUGGCGGCAUGCUUUACACAUGCAAGUCGAACGGCAGCGCGGGGCAACCUGGCGGCGAGUGGCGAACGGGUGAGUAAUACAUCGGAACGUACCCAGAAUGGGGGAUAACGUAGCGAAAGUUACGCUAAUACCGCAUACGAUCUACGGAUGAAAGUGGGGGGACCUUCGGGCCUCAUGCUUUUGGAGCGGCCGAUGUCUGAUUAGCUAGUUGGUGAGGUAAAGGCUCACCAAGGCGACGAUCAGUAGCUGGUCUGAGAGGACGACCAGCCACACUGGGACUGAGACACGGCCCAG